This 414-nucleotide ribosomal RNA is filed under the name euryarchaeote SCGC AAA288-D17. RNAcentral describes it as "SSU rRNA". It matches the Rfam family "Archaeal small subunit ribosomal RNA", at positions 464 to 878 of the family's 1478-position model. Lineage: Archaea; Methanobacteriati; Methanobacteriota. The record is from RNAcentral.
GCCGCGGUAAUACCGGCGCCUCAAGUGGUAGUCGCUUUUAUUGGGCCUAAAACGUCCGUAGCCGGUUUGGUACAUUCGUGGGUAAAUCAAGGCGCUCAACGUCUUGAAUUCUGCGAGCACGGCCAGACUUGGGACCGGGUGAGGUGUGGGGUACUCUCAGGGUAGGGGUAAAAUCCUGUCAUCCUGAGAGGACCACCUGUUGCGAAGGCGCCACACUAGAACGGAUCCGACGGUCAGGGACGAAGCCUAGGGGCACGAACCGGAUUAGAUACCCGGGUAGUCCUAGGUGUAAACGCUGUGGACUUGAUGUUGGGAGUGCUCCGAGCACCCUCAGUGUCGAAGCGAAGGUGAUAAGUCCACUGCCUGGGGAGUACGGUCGCAAGGCUGAAACUUAAAGGAAUUGGCGGGGGAGCA